RNAcentral lists this ribosomal RNA (379 nucleotides) under uncultured bacterium. RNAcentral describes it as "bacterial SSU rRNA". It matches the Rfam family "Bacterial small subunit ribosomal RNA", at positions 29 to 398 of the family's 1533-position model. The record is from RNAcentral.
AACGAACGCUGGCGGCGCGCCUAAUACAUGCAAGUCGAGCGAGAAGACGUAGCAAUACGUUUGUAAAGCGGCGAACGGGUGAGGAAUACAUGGGUAACCUACCCUCGAGUGGGGAAUAACUAGCCGAAAGGUUAGCUAAUACCGCGUACGCUCCUUGGACUUCGGUUCAGGGAGGAAAGCGAUACCGUGGGUAUCGCGCUCUUGGAUGGGCUCAUGUCCUAUCAGCUUGUUGGNGAGGUAACGGCUCACCAAGGCUUCGACGGGUAGCUGGUCUGAGAGGACGAUCAGCCACACUGGCACUGCGACACGGGCCAGACUCCUACGGGAGGCAGCAGUAAGGAAUAUUGCGCAAUGGGCGAAAGCCUGACGCAGCGACGUC